Molecule: non-coding RNA, 156 nt
Filed under: Hyphomicrobiales bacterium
Lineage: Bacteria; Pseudomonadati; Pseudomonadota; Alphaproteobacteria; Hyphomicrobiales
Also listed under: 1 other name
Description: Rhizobiales bacterium (bioreactor metagenome) 6S RNA
Rfam family: 6S / SsrS RNA
About the family: E. coli 6S RNA was the first non coding RNA to be sequenced, but its function was unknown until recently. It consists of 184 nucleotides that fold into an extended hairpin structure with a large single-stranded internal bulge.
Source: RNAcentral
GGCGUUCUGCGCUUCUCGGCAGGAGUAACAUUCCCCGGGGCCUUAUUGAUCCCAAGGGAGCUGUCCCUGGCCGGACCCGUGGGUUCGGACACACGGCGCCCACCUACUUUGUAGGCACCCGGGAUCGACCUCUCCACCGGUUGUCGCGGUUCGCCA